GGCCCCUCCCGCUCCUGCCUUGAGCGUGCUGGCAGGGCCGGGAUCCGUGUGGGUGGCAUGAGGUGGGAGCGAACCACAUCCUGCACGCCGCCGUGCUUGCCACGGGGCGCUUCGGUAAAAAUGUGGCCAUCAGGGCGAGGGAGGUGAUCCUGGCCCUCUGCUCAGCCCUAGUGAGGCCACAUUGGGAGUGCUGGGUCCAGUUCUGGGUUCAUCAGGACCAGAGCUGGAAAGGGUGCGGUGGGAGGCCGCAGAGGUGAUGAGGGGACUGGAGCAUCUCUCUUAUGCGGAGCGACUGCAGGAGUGGGGCCUUUUCUAUCUAAAGACACAGAGCGUGUCUCAUAAAUUUGCAUAAACGUCUCCAAGGCAGGUGCCAAAAGGAUGGUUCCCGGCUAUUUUCCAUAGUGCCCAGGGGCAGGACAAGGAGCAAUGGCCAUGAAUUAAAUCAUGAGAAAUUUCACCGUAGCAUGAGGAAGAACUUUAGAUUGAGGACAGCAGGGCACUGAAGAGGCUGCCUGGGGAGGGUGCAGAGUCUCCCUCUCUGUAGACAUUCGAAUCCUUCCUGGAUGCGUUCCUGUGUAAACGGCUCUAGCUCACCCUGCCUCGGCAGCAGGGUCGGACCGGAUGAUCUCCAGAGGUCCCAUCCAAUCCGAACAAUUCUGUGAUUGAGACUAGCGGUAGCUCCUCUGGAAGCCCUUGACUGUUUCCUGCAUUGGGUGCAGACCCUUUAUAUCAAGAGCCCCUCUCAGUGAAACAGGGACAGCCCCCUUGGGCUCAGCGUUGCUGGGAUCCCUUCCGAGGAGGCUGAGAGAACUGCGGGAGCAGCCCCAGUCCUCAGCUGGUCCCACAGGCUCGGGCCACUGCUUGGCCAGCCCAGCUCCCCCCAGCCCUUGAGGAGAAGUGGUGUUCAUUCCCAGCAGGGACAGAGACAUUGCCUCCCACACCCAGCAAGGCCUGUGAACUUACACUGUCAUUGCGAAGGAUACAAGGAAGUAAUUUAGCUUUCAUCUUGGGUCUGUGUGGUUAAGUGAGUAAGUCUUGAAACAUCACACUGUCUAGGAUGUCUGGAUGUGUUGGCCCGAACUUUCUAGCUGGUUUUCUGACUGGCAUUGAAGCCUAGGGAGUAUAUGCUGGAAAACAAACUUCACAGUUGUUGUCUGCAGAUUGUUACCUCUUACCUUGGGUACUGUAGUGACCUUUAACUGGAAAAAAACAUGGAUGUUUAAAAAGUUCACAGUGGCUUCAAAACACAUCAAAACAUUUGAGGCAGGACAUUUGGAAAAAUAUCCUCAGCCUGUCAUGAGUCAUAAAUAAUAACAUGAAACACUACUUCCAAUUACUUACUUCUUUGAUCAGCCAUCUAAAGGAGAUAAAAGUUCCUACUGGAAAAGUGUGAGCCCAAAUGAGAAUUACCCAUAACAUAUGUAUUGGUUGGGAUUACAGUUACAUAAAAGUCAACAUGUAUGUAUUCUUGAGUUAUUUAGUAUAAUUUCAUACUUUGUCAUCUUUUCUCUUAAAAUAAUUAUGUAUGUGUGUAUUAGCAUAUAAAUUAAAAGUUUUUCCACCCUUUGCAGGUUGACAGUCUCAACUUAGUCCAUGACAAUGCUGGUAUUUAGUGUUUUCCGUCCUUAUUUCUCAGAUUGUUUGAAAAAACUGACAAGGUGCCAUUGAGAUUGCAGAAAGAAGAUAAAUACACGAUGUCUUCAUUAAGUUCACAGUUUUGUACCUGUGAGUUACUGAGUCGCUGUAGUCAAGCAUUCUGCCUUGGUGUUACAAUUCUCUUUUUAUGUGUCACCCGCUGUCCUCCUCGUAUUUUUAUUACCUGUGUACUUAGAGGAUUUGAGCCUGCACAGAGCAAGCCCUAGGGAGCUAAAAGUUGCAAGCAUAACAAUUCAUUUGGUAGCACCAAGAAUGUCGCGUAGUCAGUGGCACUUUGCAUCUGUGAUAGGAAUCAUUACUGAGGUAGGGAGCAAAUUUGGUAGCAGAGUCUCAAUUUUCUGUGUUCCCUUCCUACUGUCCCCUUCAGCUGGUGGAAGGUCAUGUGGAAGGUGUGACAGGGAAUGGUUGGGUGUGGAAGAGUGUUUGACAUUCCUGUUGUCAAAGCACCGCAUUCCCUUGUGUUUGUGCUCCUUUAUUUCCUGGGAAGCCAGAGUACCUCCAGCACUGCCCCAUGCUGGGACUUGCAGGUUCUACACUGGUAAUAACGUGCAACGAAGCAGACAGUUUGUGUCCCUUAGCUUUUGUGGUAGAUAACCUAAUAAUUUACUAAGCACAAUGCCAGGCCUGAUUCUAAACUGAUCAUGUCUUGAAUUUCAGCAACUGGUAAAAUAUUUUCAUUGUAUUACAGAUACAUAGAUAGCCCUGUUAUCAGGCUGGAGAAUGGGAAUCCGAUGCCUUUUUGCAGCUUUUAGCAUCUGCGUCGUCUCUUGCAAGCACAGUACUGUAAGGCUGGAAUGCCCAGCUCUGGAUUAGAAACUUAAUACCUGUCAGGAGCGGCGCACCAAUAAAUAUUUCAGCUGUUAAAUCUGGAACAGACUCAGCAGAAAUCAUGGAAAAUAGCAGCAAUGUUUUAGGCCUAGGAAGGCUUAGAUCCAGAUUUAAAGACGUGUCUUGGUGCUUUAAAGGAAGCAUUAGUUACGCACUUAUGCUUGGAUUUACCUCCCACCUCUGUUUUUUUUAUAUGUAAAAUUGUGAGAACAUGCUGACGCAUGGCAUUUGUAUUUCAGUGUGAAUGCAUUUCAUCAGCUUUUACUAUUAAGAUUCUUAUUGUGUAAAAAGUUAGAUGCAGAAAAAAGGUCAUUUUUGUGUGGUUUUCCUUUCCAAAUUCAACAUCCCUCAAUGCUUGCACUGAGGACACUUGGCUGAAGAACAGCUCGCAACCAUGGACUGGCAGAAGUGAUGUUUGUAAUGCAAGGAAUAUAUCCAGAAUGCCACACUGCCAUGCCGGUAGCACGAGCUCAGCACACGGCUCCCUGUUGCACUGUGAAUCACUGACUUGUGUGACCUGCCUUCAACAAGAAAACACUCUGAGUGCCUCUACUCAGAGAAUAAAGAGAAAAGCUGCUGGAAAUUCAUUACUUAUGCUUAGAUGCUUCCGCCUUUUCCAGAUACUUCUUCAUGUUGAAACACCUUGAUGAUUUUGAAAGAAACUAUUUACAUUCCAAUGAAUAAACAUCUUAGUAUUAACCUAAUUUAAUUUUUAUGGUGUAUAAUGGAUCAUGGCAUAUAAAAAACUUUUUAAAAAUCUGUCUUUCACAUCUGAGUAUAACUGUAGACUCAGAAUUUCUUCAGGUUUAUCUCCAUGACUAAUAUUUAUAAAGAACAGUUUCACAGUAGAAUAGUCAGUUGCUUUUCAUACCUGAAGCAUCCCUGGAAGAUAACAAAUGGAUCUGAAUCCAGUUUGUAUAUUGUAAUGUUUUUUAAAUUCCCUCUUCACUUUCAAAUCAUAGGGAGAUUGUUCUCUUCUGUGUCAGGAAUGAGUGGGAGGUUAUGUUUUGUUAAUGCCAAAAAGUGAUCAUUCCUAGACACCAACCAGUCAAGCCCAACCCAAGGAUGAGUGCCAUCUAAUUUCUUGUAUUAUUGUUUGUGUGUAUUUUCUCUUAUCAUCACUGUUCUUGUUGAAGUCUCAGCUUGUUAAGUUCUGUCUGCACUGAUGUAUAAGAAGGUAUUAAUGCUACUCUGAGAAGCCUACAUUAUAAGAGAAAAAAACUAGAAUCUACCAUCAUCUGUCUUUAUUUUUUUGUUUGUUGUUGGGUAGUCUUUUAAUCCAAUCUUUUUUUAUCAAAAUCUUGCAGGUGGUACAUGCCAGAUGGACUUUUUGCAGAUUAAAUGAAGGAUCAUUUGUCAAGCAGCUGUAUCAGGAAGGAUUUUUCAUGUGUGGGUGAAUGUGCAAGGAAAGGCAUGACAACACUUGUGUCCCUAUUCCUGUAAUUCACUGGUGGCUCAAGUUUAGUGGAUUCAGAGGGCAUUUUAUAGCUUUCUUAGCUAAUGUUGCAAUUAAAAAUCAAAAUAUCUAAAGUC
Long non-coding RNA from Catharus ustulatus (Swainson's thrush), 4017 nucleotides. RefSeq lists it as uncharacterized. The transcript has 2 exons. The record is from RefSeq and is a predicted model, not a curated record. NCBI's taxonomy places the organism in Eukaryota, Metazoa, Chordata, Aves, Passeriformes, Turdidae.